CCUACGUGCGGCAGCAGUGAGGAAUAUUGGUCAAUGGCCGAGAGGCUGAACCAGCCAAGUCGCGUGAGGGAAGACGGCCCUACGGGUUGUAAACCUCUUUUGUCGGGGAGCAAAGCGAACCACGUGUGUUUCCUUGAUUGUACCCGAAGAAACAGCAUCGGCUAACUCCGGGCCAGCCGCCGCGGUACUACGGAGGAUGCGAGCGUUAUCCGGAUUUAUUGGGUUUAAAGGGUGCGCAGGCGGAGGUGCAAGUCAGCGGUCAAAUUGCGGGGCUCAACCCCGUACUGCCGUUGAAACUGCAGCACUUGAGUGCGCGAGAGGGAUGCGGAAUGCGAGGUGUAGCGGUGAAAUGCAUAGAUAUCACGCAGAACUCCGAUUGCGAAGGCAGCAUACCGGCGCGCAACUGACGCUCAUGCACGAAAGCGUGGGUAUCGAACAGGAUUAGAUACCCUAGUAGUC
RNAcentral lists this ribosomal RNA (459 nucleotides) under uncultured bacterium. RNAcentral describes it as "partial 16S ribosomal RNA". It matches the Rfam family "Bacterial small subunit ribosomal RNA", at positions 338 to 795 of the family's 1533-position model. The record is from RNAcentral.